Ochotona princeps (American pika) is the source of this 393-nucleotide long non-coding RNA. RefSeq lists it as uncharacterized. The transcript has 3 exons. NCBI's taxonomy places the organism in Eukaryota, Metazoa, Chordata, Mammalia, Lagomorpha, Ochotonidae. The record is from RefSeq and is a predicted model, not a curated record.
CUAGCUGGUUUUCACUCACCCCACUGUGGGAUUUCUUUGUUGCUUCUUGGGGUCUGAGGUAACACUUCAGUCAGCUGCAGGCAGGAACUACAGCUGAAACUAUUUUUUACUGUGUGUUGUUAUUUGCCUGCCUCAGGAGGGAAGGAAGCAAAGUAACAAAGAGCCUGAAGAUAUACACAGCUCCCAGGCCCUGGAUGGAGGCUGGCGGCGUCAGGCAGACAGAACCAACAGCCUUCGUGGCUGCGGACUACAGACUUGCUAUUGGAAAAGGCUAAGAAGAGCCAAUAAACUUGGCCACCUCACUUCUACUCCUCAGGCCCAUCAUCAGAGAGAAGUAAUGACUCCCGAGCUGGUUCAAGUUCAAAAACUUAAGCUGGUGUUUCAAUGAAGCCA